AUUGAACGCUAGCGGGAUGCUUUACACAUGCAAGUCGAACGGCAGCGCGGACUUCGGUCUGGCGGCGAGUGGCGAACGGGUGAGUAAUGUAUCGGAACGUGCCCAGUAGCGGGGGAUAACUACGCGAAAGCGUAGCUAAUACCGCAUACGCCCUACGGGGGAAAGCAGGGGAUCGUAAGACCUUGCACUAUUGGAGCGGCCGAUAUCGGAUUAGCUAGUUGGUGAGGUAACGGCUCACCAAGGCGACGAUCCGUAGCUGGUUUGAGAGGACGACCAGCCACACUGGGACUGAGACACGGCCCAGACUCCUACGGGAGGCAGCAGUGGGGAAUUUUGGACAAUGGGGGCAACCCUGAUCCAGCCAUCCCGCGUGUGCGAUGAAGGCCUUCGGGUUGUAAAGCACUUUUGGCAGGAAAGAAACGUCGCGGGCUAAUACCCCGUGGAACUGACGGUACCUGCAGAAUAAGCACCAGCUAACUACGUG
This 484-nucleotide ribosomal RNA is filed under the name uncultured bacterium. RNAcentral's name for it is "partial 16S ribosomal RNA". It matches the Rfam family "Bacterial small subunit ribosomal RNA", at positions 30 to 507 of the family's 1533-position model. The record is from RNAcentral.